ACUCCUACGGGAGGCAGCAGUGGGGAAUAUUGCACAAUGGGCGCAAGCCUGAUGCAGCCAUGCCGCGUGUAUGAAGAAGGCCUUCGGGUUGUAAAGUACUUUCAGCAGUGAGGAAGGCGGUACGUUAUAGUACGUGCUCGUUGAUCGUUUAGCUGCAGAGAAGACACCGCGUAACUCCGUGCCAGCAGCCGCGGUAAUACGGAGGGUGCGAGCGUUAAUCGGAAUUACUGGGCGUAAAGCGCAUGCAGGUGGUUUGUUAAGUCAGAUGUGAAAGCCCGGGGCUCAACCUCGGAAUAUGAC
RNAcentral lists this ribosomal RNA (300 nucleotides) under uncultured bacterium. RNAcentral's name for it is "bacterial SSU rRNA". It matches the Rfam family "Bacterial small subunit ribosomal RNA", at positions 335 to 627 of the family's 1533-position model. The record is from RNAcentral.